This 291-nucleotide ribosomal RNA is filed under the name uncultured eukaryote. Its description in RNAcentral is "partial 18S ribosomal RNA". It matches the Rfam family "Eukaryotic small subunit ribosomal RNA", at positions 6 to 306 of the family's 1831-position model. The record is from RNAcentral.
GGUUGAUCCUGCCAGUAGUCAUAUGCUUGUCUCAAAGAUUAAGCCAUGCAUGUCUAAGUAUAAGCACUUUAUACAGCGAAACUGCGAACGGCUCAUUAAAUCAGUCAUUAUGUACUCGGCAGUUGCGUUUACUACACGGAUACCUGUGGUAAUUCUAGAGCUAAUACGUGCGUGUGCUUCCGGCAACGGGAGCAGGCAUUUAUUGGAUAAAAGACCAACAUUUAACUUGGUGAGUCACAGUAACUUAGCGAAUCGCAUGGCCUCUGUGCUGGCGAUGUGCCGAUCCAAUUU